AUACGUAGGGGGCGAGCGUUGUCCGGAAUGAUUGGGCGUAAAGGGCGCGUAGGCGGCCCGGUAAGUCUGGAGUGAAAGUCCUGUUUUUAAGAUGGGAAUUGCUUUGGAUACUGUCGGGCUUGAGUGCAGGAGAGGUAAGUGGAAUUCCCAGUGUAGCGGUGAAAUGCGUAGAGAUUGGGAGGAACACCAGUGGCGAAGGCGACUUACUGGACUGUAACUGACGCUGAGGCGCGAGAGUGUGGGGAGCAAACAGGAUUAGAUACCCUGGUAGUCCACACUGUAAACGAUGAAUGCUAGGUGUAGGGGGUAUCGACCCCUUCUGUGCCGCAGUCAACACAAUAAGCAUUCCGCCUGGGGAGUACGGCCGCAAGGUUGAAACUCAAAGGAAUUGACGGGG
This 397-nucleotide ribosomal RNA is filed under the name uncultured bacterium. RNAcentral's name for it is "partial 16S ribosomal RNA". It matches the Rfam family "Bacterial small subunit ribosomal RNA", at positions 523 to 918 of the family's 1533-position model. The record is from RNAcentral.